GACGAACGCUGGCGGCGUGCUUAACACAUGCAAGUCGAACGGAAAGGCCCUGCUUUUGUGGGGUGCUCGAGUGGCGAACGGGUGAGUAACACGUGAGUAACCUGCCCUUGACUUUGGGAUAACUUCAGGAAACUGGGGCUAAUACCGGAUAUGAGCUCCUGCUGCAUGGUGGGGGUUGGAAAGUUUCGGCGGUUGGGGAUGGACUCGCGGCUUAUCAGCUUGUUGGUGGGGUAGUGGCUUACCAAGGCUUUGACGGGUAGCCGGCCUGAGAGGGUGACCGGCCACAUUGGGACUGAGAUACGGCCCAGACUCCUACGGGAGGCAGCAGUGGGGAAUAUUGCACAAUGGGCGGAAGCCUGAUGCAGCAACGCCGCGUGCGGGAUGCCGGCCUUCGGGUUGUAAACCGCUUUCGCCUGUGACGAAGCGUGAGUGACGGUAAUGGGUAAAGAAGCACCGGCUAACUACGUG
RNAcentral lists this ribosomal RNA (468 nucleotides) under uncultured bacterium. RNAcentral describes it as "partial 16S ribosomal RNA". It matches the Rfam family "Bacterial small subunit ribosomal RNA", at positions 28 to 507 of the family's 1533-position model. The record is from RNAcentral.